Molecule: ribosomal RNA, 264 nt
Filed under: uncultured archaeon
Lineage: Archaea
Description: partial 16S ribosomal RNA
Rfam family: Archaeal small subunit ribosomal RNA
Source: RNAcentral
AGUCACUGACAUUAGAUACCCCCGUAGUCCCAGCCGUAAACAAUGUGCGUUAGGUGUGUCGGUAACCACGCGUUACUGAUGCGCCGAAGAGAAAUCGUGAAACGUGCCGCCUGGGAAGUACGGUCGCAAGGCUGAAACUUAAAGGAAUUGGCGGGGAGCACCACAACAGGUGGAGCCUGCGGUUUAAUUGGACUCAACGCCGGGAAGCUCACCGGAUUGGACAGCAGAAUGAUUGCCGGGCUGAAGACCCUGCAUGACUAGCUG